GUGCCAGCAGCCGCGCGGUAAUACGAAGGUCCCGAGCGUUAUUCGGAAUCACUGGGCGUAAAGAGUACGUAGGCGGUUUGGUAAGUCAGGUGUGAAAUCCCGGGGCUCAACCCCGGAACUGCAUCCGAUACUGCCAGACUGGAGUAAUGGAGAGGCAGGUGGAAUUCUCGGUGUAGCAGUGAAAUGCGUGGAUAUCGAGAGGAAGACCAAUGGCGAAGGCAGCCUGCUGGACAUUUACUGACGCUGAGGUACGAAGGCCAGGGUAGCGAAAGGGAUUAGAUACCCCUGUAGUCCUGGCAGUAAACGGUGCGCGCUUGGUGUGGGAGGACUCGACCCCUUCUGUGCCGGAGCUAACGCGUUAAGCGCGCCGCCUGGGGAGUACGGUCGCAAGACUAAAACUCAAAGAAAUUGACGGGGACCCGCACAAGCGGUGGAGUAUGUGGCUUAAUUCGAUGCAACGCGAAGAACCUUACCUAGGCUUGACAUGUAUUGCUAAGCACGUGAAAGCGUGUGACUCUUCGGAGACCUUACACAGGUGCUGCAUGGCCGUCGUCAGCUCGUGUCGUGAGAUGUUUGGUUAAGUCCAGCAACGAGCGCAACCCCUGUGGAUAGUUGCCAGCACGUAAUGGUGGGGACUCUAUCCAGACUGCCCAGGUCAACUGGGAGGAAGGUGGGGAUGACGUCAGGUCAGUAUGGCCCUUACGCCUAGGGCUGCACACGUACUACAAUGCCCAGUACAAUGAGAACCGAUACCGUGAGGUGGAGGAAAUCUACAAAACUGGGGCCCAGUUCGGAUUGAGGCUGCAACUCGCCUCCAUGAAGUUGGAAUCGCUAGUAAUGGCACAUCGCUACGGUGGCGUGAAUACGUUUCCCGGGGUCUUGUACCACCGCCCGU
RNAcentral lists this ribosomal RNA (895 nucleotides) under uncultured bacterium. RNAcentral's name for it is "bacterial SSU rRNA". It matches the Rfam family "Bacterial small subunit ribosomal RNA", at positions 505 to 1397 of the family's 1533-position model. The record is from RNAcentral.